CCUACAUAAUUAAGGCAAAUGCCUUCAGAAUUAACUUAGACCCUACAUAAUUAAGGCAUAUGCCUUCAGAAUAAAGUUUAAAUCCAUGGAAUUAAGGCAUAUAACUUCAGAAUUAACUUAGAUACUAUAUAAUUCAGGCAUAUGCCUUCAGAAUUAACUCAGAUCCUAUGGAAUUAAACGCAUAUGCCUUCACAAUUAACUUAGAUCCUAUGGAAUUAAAGGCAUAUACCUUCAGAAUUAACUUAGAUCCUACAUAAUUAAGGCAUAUACCUUCAGAAUUAACU
Tympanuchus pallidicinctus (lesser prairie-chicken) is the source of this 284-nucleotide long non-coding RNA. RefSeq lists it as uncharacterized. Lineage: Eukaryota; Metazoa; Chordata; Aves; Galliformes; Phasianidae. The record is from RefSeq and is a predicted model, not a curated record. The transcript is spliced from 3 exons.